CUCCAAUAGCGUAUAUUAAAAGUUGUUGCGGUUAAAAAAGCUCGUAGUUGGAUUUCUGCCGAGGACGACCGGUCCGCCUCUGGGUGAGCAUCUGGCUCGGCCUGGGCAUCUUCUUGGAGAACGUAUCUGCACUUGACUGUGUGGUGCGGUAUUCAGGACUUUUACUUUGAGGAAAAUUAGAGUGUUUCAAGCAGCAUACG
This 200-nucleotide ribosomal RNA is filed under the name uncultured eukaryote. Its description in RNAcentral is "partial 18S ribosomal RNA". It matches the Rfam family "Eukaryotic small subunit ribosomal RNA", at positions 589 to 789 of the family's 1831-position model. The record is from RNAcentral.